AUACGUAGGGAGCGAGCGUUAUCCGGAUUUACUGGGCGUAAAGGGCGUGUAGGCGGUCUUGCAAGUCAGAAGUGAAAUUCCUGAGCUCAACUCGGGCGCUGCUUCUGAAACUGCAGGACUUGAGUGCUGGAGGGGAUAGCGGAAUUCCUAGUGGAGCGGUAAAAUGCGCAGAUAUUAGGAAGAACACCGGUGGCGAAGGCGGCUAUCUGGACAGUAACUGACGCUGAGUAUCGAAAGCGUGGGGAGCAAACAGGAUGAGAUACCCAGGUAGUCCACGCCGUGAACGAUGAAUACUAGGUGUAGGGGGUAUCGACUCCCUCUGUGCCGCAGUUAACACAAUAAGUAUUCCGCCUGGGGAGUACGGCCGCAAGGUUGAAACUCAAAUGAAUUGACGGGG
This 397-nucleotide ribosomal RNA is filed under the name uncultured bacterium. RNAcentral describes it as "partial 16S ribosomal RNA". It matches the Rfam family "Bacterial small subunit ribosomal RNA", at positions 523 to 918 of the family's 1533-position model. The record is from RNAcentral.